GCUUGACAUGAUAAAAGUAACAAAUAUGAGGGAUCUUAACUGAACAGAGCAGGACAUAGAAGUGCUACCCCUCUGAAUGAAAUAAUUUGUGAUGUGUGGAAGAUAGAUCAUUGAAACAAAUUGUGAUUCUUCUAUGAGCCAGUGGUCACCAGUAAGUAUAUGUAAUGCUGCACUUGGCACAAUUUGAUUCAGCAUAUUUUAUAAUAGCAUUAAAUAUUUAUUACAUAUGAAAUGCUUCACUAUAUUUUCACUAUAAAAUUGAGUUAGUCCUCCGUAAAUUUGUACAAGAGAAUAAAGAGAAUACAAUCUUUAGCACUAAGCAUAGUUUUAUGAUUUGGAAUAGCAAUAGUUAAUUGGGCAGAAGUGUUCCACAUGGCCUGGGGAGUAAGAGGCAACCACUUGCAAUAGCACUGCAGAAUAGAAUUCUCAAGUUUCCUCUUUAAUUAGAAGUUAAAUCGCACGUUAACCAGUAGCUCAGUGUUACUUUUAGGAGUGAUUUAUAAAAUAAAGAAGAGAAUGACUAGAAAAUGGACAUUAGAGGAGGGAGUACAAUUUUAUUUUAUUUUGUAUUGUUUUCUUGCUGUGAUACUUUAUUCUUGCAGACCAAACCAAAAUAUGAAUGUUUAAGUGUUCUCUCUAGGGACAUUCACAGCAGCUCCCCACCAGAUACUUCUUAUAAUAAUAUUUUUAUUUUAAUCAGUAAAAAUCGUUAACAUGCAUAAAACGUGAUAGGUACAUUAGAGCUAAACUGUAUUACAUUUGCCUCUUUAAUGAAUAUAGUUUCCUCUAUCUUUAUAAAUUAUUGUCUGGAGAGGUUUCAAGCUCUUGGGACACUUGAAAAAAAAUACCAAGUUUUAUUAUAGACCUCAGAUAUUCUAUGCUGCUUUUACAAUUUAUUUUUCACAUUACCCAUGCACUAUCAUUUGGAGCUUUGCAUCUGGUAUCUUAGAAGAGAGACAUACCAUUUUCUUGAUUUCUUAAUUUUCUUUUUUUUCCAGGGUUAUCUCUGGCUCAUACAAGAUGUUAUGAAAGAGCUUUAGAGGCCGACGUGGAGCUCCUGAUGUGACCCACCUU
Molecule: non-coding RNA, 1074 nt
Organism: Pelobates cultripes (western spadefoot toad)
Lineage: Eukaryota; Metazoa; Chordata; Amphibia; Anura; Pelobatidae
Source: the annotation of a GenBank genome assembly